UUAGAGUGCUUAAAGCAGGCUAAAACUUCGCCUGAAUAAUGCGUGCAUGGAAUAAUGAAACAGGACCUCGGUUCUAUUUUGUUGGUUUUCGGAACCCCGAGGUAAUGAUUAACAGGAACGGAUGGGGGCAUUCGUAUUGCGACGUUAGAGGUGAAAUUCUUGGAUCGUCGCAAGACGGACAGAAGCGAAAGCAUUUGACCUAAAAACGUUUUCAUUGAUCAAGAACGAAAGUUAGAGGUUCGAAGGCGAUCAGAUACCGCCUAGUUCUAACCAUAACGAUGCCAGCUAGCGAUCCGCCGACGUUCCUCCGACUGACUCGGCGGGCGAGGCUUCCGGGAACCGAAAGGACUUUAGGUUUCCGGGGGUAAGGUAGUGGUUGCAAAGCUGAAACUUAAAGGAAUUGACGGAAGGGCACCACCAGGAGUGGAGCCUGCGGCUUAAUUUGACUCAACACGGGAAACCUCACCAGGCCCAGACACCGGAAGGAUUGACAGAUUGAGAGCUCUUUCUUGAUUCGGUGGGUGGUGGUGCAUGGCCGUUCUUAGUUGGUGGAGCGAUUUGUCUGGUUAAUUCCGAUAACGAACGAGACUCUAGCCUGACUAACGUAGGCGUAUUAGACAUCCUAAAGGCCCGCCGGCUCGUCGGGUCGGCGUCGGUUUUACUGUCUGCGUACAUUAUAUUCUUCUU
RNAcentral lists this ribosomal RNA (687 nucleotides) under Scymnus sp. SMB-2011. RNAcentral describes it as "SSU rRNA". It matches the Rfam family "Eukaryotic small subunit ribosomal RNA", at positions 766 to 1412 of the family's 1831-position model. Lineage: Eukaryota; Metazoa; Arthropoda; Insecta; Coleoptera; Coccinellidae. The record is from RNAcentral.